Nycticebus coucang (slow loris) is the source of this 871-nucleotide RNA transcript. It is a transcript of the gene named etoposide-induced protein 2.4 homolog, with no coding region annotated. The record is from RefSeq and is a predicted model, not a curated record. NCBI's taxonomy places the organism in Eukaryota, Metazoa, Chordata, Mammalia, Primates, Lorisidae. The transcript has a single exon.
CUCCUCUGUGUAGUCGAUAGUUUGGGUAGUGAAGAGAUGGCUGACAGUGUCAAAACAUUUCUCCAGGACCUGGCCAGGGGAAUCAAAGACUCCAUAUGGGGUAUUUGCACCAUCUCAAAGUUAGAUGCUGGAAUCCAGCAAAAGAGAGAGGAGCAGCGCCUAAGAAGGGCAAGCAGUGUCCUGGCACAGAGGAGAGCCCAGAGCACGGAGCGGAAGCGAGAGAGCGAGCCACGUAUUGUUAGUAGAAUUCUCCAGUGUUGUGCUUGGAAUGGUGGAGUAUUCUGAUGUAGUCUCCUCUUAUUUUAUCGAAUGUUUAUUCCUGGGCUUCAGUAUGUAACAGCCCUAAUUAUUGGUGAUCCAUCACUGCAUGGAGUUUUUUGGUCCUGGCUGGAAUUUUUCCUCACGUCAAUUUUCAGCGCUCUCUGGGUGCUCCCCCUGUUUGUGCUGAGCAAAGUCGUAAAUGCCAUUUGGUUUCGGGAAAUGCACCGUUGAAAUGCACCAACGGUUGUCAAACAUAGAAAGGAACUGGCCUUCCUACUUUGGCUUUGGUUUGCCCUUGGCUUUUCUCACUGCAAUGCAGUCCUCAUACAUUAUCAGUGGCUGCCUCUUCUCCAUCCUCUUUCCUUUAUUCAUUAUCAGCGUCAAUGAGGCAAAGACCCCUGGAAAAGCAUACCUCUUCCAGUUGCGACUCUUCUCCUUGGUGGUCUUCUUAAGCAACCGACUCUUCCUCAAGACAGUGUACCUGCAGUCUGCCCUGAGCAGCUCAACCUCUGCAGAGACGUUCCCUUGGCGACAUCCAUCUCCUGCCAAACCGAAAGCUGCUGCAGGCCACUGAGCUCCCUGCCACCCAAAGGGGGUGGGUGGGAGUGGA